AAAGGCUUAUUGAUAACAGGUAUUUGAUUCCAUCAUAAUGCUUUACUAAACCCGUUUUGCCAUGCUUUUUCGGAUUUGGCUAAAAAAUUAGCAUUGUGGCUGCGGAGCAAGUGGAUUUUCUGCUUAGGCAACAAAUAUAGACAAUCUUUGCAAUAUGUAUGAAGAUUGGAGUCCUUGAAUUUGAGCUUGAGGAAACUAUUAGCAGACAUCUGGAUGGAAGUUUCUGCGCCAAGUACAGAGAAGGUUCUUCGUGCUCUCUUCUUCUCACUUUUCGAACUAGCCCCAGAAAUGAAGGGUUCUAAAUUGACAAUUUAUGGAAAGCUCCUCUAAUAUUGAGUAAUUUUCUAUGCCGUGUUUUGGGCUCUGCACAUCUGUGGCUUCUUGCCAGGGCGAAAUAUAUUGGGCAUAACAAUGUUUCGAGU
RNAcentral lists this long non-coding RNA (422 nucleotides) under Olea europaea (common olive). RNAcentral's name for it is "long non-coding RNA (OEUR_LNC001028)". Lineage: Eukaryota; Viridiplantae; Streptophyta; Magnoliopsida; Lamiales; Oleaceae. The record is from RNAcentral.